AAUCAUAUUCCUGUUACAAGAACAGUGUAAUAAUAUAAGCCAUAACGGCUGGUUAAUAUUCGUUGUUUGACUGCAAAGUGUCACUUAUAUACAGAGUGUGCACCUUGCCAGUAGGGGGCAGUGUGGCGCUGUGCUUCUCCCUAGGGACUCUCUUUGAUAGCGGACUCUGGCUCCUUCCUCAUUCUACCGAGCGAAGCUUCACUGUACAGAAGCAUGGCUGCCUGUCUCAUCCUUUCUCCUGUUUAACACAGCAGCAGCAGCACCUCAGUGGUUUGUUUCCAGUUUUCAGGUUAAUUUCUGUUUGGUUUACAAUAAAAUACAAUUAACUAACUUAA
Long non-coding RNA from Notolabrus celidotus (New Zealand spotty), 335 nucleotides. RefSeq lists it as uncharacterized. The transcript is spliced from 2 exons. NCBI's taxonomy places the organism in Eukaryota, Metazoa, Chordata, Actinopteri, Labriformes, Labridae. The record is from RefSeq and is a predicted model, not a curated record.